This 253-nucleotide ribosomal RNA is filed under the name uncultured bacterium. Its description in RNAcentral is "partial 16S ribosomal RNA". It matches the Rfam family "Bacterial small subunit ribosomal RNA", at positions 524 to 776 of the family's 1533-position model. The record is from RNAcentral.
UACGGAGGGUGCAAGCGUUAAUCGGAAUUACCGGGCGUAAAGCGCGCGUAAGCGGUUUUUUAAGUCGGAUGUGAAAGCCCCGGGCUCAACCUGGGAACUGCAUCCGAUACUGGAAGACUAGAAUGCGGGAGAGGGAGGUAGAAUUCCAUGUGUAGCAGUGAAAUGCGUAGAUAUAUGGAGGAAUACCAGUGGCGAAGGCGGCCUCCUGGCUCGACAUUGACGCUGAGGUGCGAAAGCGUGGGGAGCAAACGGG